Long non-coding RNA from Rhipicephalus sanguineus (brown dog tick), 288 nucleotides. RefSeq lists it as uncharacterized. The transcript is spliced from 3 exons. The record is from RefSeq and is a predicted model, not a curated record. Lineage: Eukaryota; Metazoa; Arthropoda; Arachnida; Ixodida; Ixodidae.
AUACCAAGACGGCAGUUCAAAUGCAAAGCUAACAUGACCGAUCUUUAUGACCUGCUGAACACGACUGAUUGGAUAUGGAUACAUAGGGCAUCCCAGGAAGCGAUCAGUUAUGACGCAAGAUGGAAAUGCCUGAGCUACCAACCGUUCAACUUAACUAACACUAGCGUCAUCUUAUACUACGAUAUGUACAGCUACGAUUCAGCGAAUGUAGAAAUGGUGCACGCUAAUUUGUCAUACGAAGGCAAGCCGACCAUGACUGAGCACUGGAGGAUAUACACUCGAGGAAGU